Molecule: ribosomal RNA, 468 nt
Filed under: uncultured bacterium
Lineage: Bacteria
Description: partial 16S ribosomal RNA
Rfam family: Bacterial small subunit ribosomal RNA
Source: RNAcentral
GACGAACGCUGGCGGCGUGCUUAACACAUGCAAGUCGAACGGAAAGGCCCUGCUUUUGUGGGGUGCCCGAGUGGCGAACGGGUGAGUAACACGUGAGUAACCUGCCCUUGACUUUGGGAUAACUUCAGGAAACUGGGGCUAAUACCGUAUAGGAGCCCCUCUUGCAUGGUGGGGGGUGGAUAUUUUCGGCGGUCGGGGAUGGAUUCGCGGGUUACCGGCUUGUUGGUGGGGUAGGGGAAUACCAAGGCUUUGACGGGUCGCCGGCCUGUGUGGGUGACCGGGCUCAAGGGGACUGCGGGACGGACCAGAGGCCUACGGGAGGCAGCAGGCGGGAAUAUGACACAGUGGGCGCGAGCCUGAUGCGGCGGCGCCGCGUGCGGGAUGACGGCCUUCGGGUUGAAAACCGCUUUCGCCUGUGACGAAGCGGGAGUGACGGUAAUGGGUAAAGAAGCACCGGCUAACUACGUG